CGUGGAGCGGAGGGGGCGGAGCCCACUGUGGGGCGGGGCGUCGUGGUCACGUGACGUGGUUUGACUGUUUACACGAGGCGCGGGCAGAGCCGUCGGCCUCAGUCAGUCAGGCGCUAGGCAGCGUUUCGGUU
Molecule: long non-coding RNA, 131 nt
Organism: Neotoma lepida (desert woodrat)
Lineage: Eukaryota; Metazoa; Chordata; Mammalia; Rodentia; Cricetidae
Rfam family: FMR1 antisense RNA 1 conserved region 2
Source: Rfam